RNAcentral lists this ribosomal RNA (254 nucleotides) under uncultured bacterium. Its description in RNAcentral is "partial 16S ribosomal RNA". It matches the Rfam family "Bacterial small subunit ribosomal RNA", at positions 524 to 776 of the family's 1533-position model. The record is from RNAcentral.
UACGUAGGCAGCGAGCGUUGUUCGGAGUUACUGGGCGUAAAGGGUGUGUAGGCGGCCUCUUAAGUUUGGUGUGAAAUCUCCCGGCUCAACUGGGAGGGUGCGCCGGAUACUGAGGGGCUCGAGUGCGGGAAGGGAAAGUGGAAUUCCUGGUGUAGCGGUGAAAUGCGUAGAUAUCAGGAGGAACACCGGUGGUGCAAACGGCUUUCUGGACCGUAACUGACGCUGGAGACACGAAAGCGUGGGGAGCAAACAGG